AUGGAUUUGCUUUUGUUGAUUGUGUUGUUCUACAAUUUUGGGUUGGUUCUGUUAAUGAUGAAACUGCCACUACUGCUUCGGGGCAUUACUUAUGCAGGUAUGCCUUUUAAUUUUCUUGCUUAUAUAAAUGCCUUGCUGUAUUGUGCAAUACUAAAAUUAAAAAAAAAUUUGAAUUCCUAUUGGAAUUUGAUUGUAGGUCUACAGAAGUAAAGCAGAGAUAAAAUGUUGCAGGAAUGGAAUUUGAAUUCCAUAUUUCUAUGUUGCAGGAAUGGCCAAAGAAGCAUAGAAAGCACUCAGAAAGUAUACAUUAAUUGGUGAGUUUAGAGAAACUAUUUAGAUGCUCAGGUAUAUAUUAUUUCUCUCUAUUUUCUCUUUUUUCAUAUCUAUUUUUCAUUAUGUGUGUCAAGUUUAUUGAUUUUUCUUCUUCUC
This 429-nucleotide unclassified non-coding RNA is filed under the name Hevea brasiliensis (rubber tree). The record is from RNAcentral. Lineage: Eukaryota; Viridiplantae; Streptophyta; Magnoliopsida; Malpighiales; Euphorbiaceae.